Molecule: ribosomal RNA, 501 nt
Filed under: uncultured archaeon
Lineage: Archaea
Description: bacterial SSU rRNA
Rfam family: Archaeal small subunit ribosomal RNA
Source: RNAcentral
CACUGCUAUCGGGAUUCGACUAAGCCAUGCGAGUCGUGAGGGUUCGGCCCUCGGCAGACGGCUCAGUAACACGUAGAUAAUUUGCCCUUAGGUGGAGGAUACCCUCGGGAAACUGAGAAUAAUACUCCAUAGAUCUAGACUGCUGGAAUGCUUUUAGAUUGAAAGAUUUAUCGCCUAAGGAUAAGUCUGCGGACUAUCAGGUUGUAGUCAGGGUAACUACCUGACUAGCCUACGACGGAUACGGGUAGUGAGAGCUUUAGCCCGGAGAUGAUAUCUGAGACACGAUAUCAGGCCCUACGGGGCGCAGCAGGCGCGAAAACUUCGCACUGUGCGAAAGCACGACGAGGGAAUCCCAAGUGCUGGCUCGUAAGAGUCAGCUGUUUCUCUGUCUAAAAAACAGAGAGAGUAAGGGCUGGGUAAGACGGGUGCCAGCCGCCGCGGUAAUACCUGCAGCUCAAGUGGUGGCCGCUAUUAUUGGGCCUAAAACGUCCGUAGCCGGUU